Molecule: long non-coding RNA, 4189 nt
Organism: Hemibagrus wyckioides
Lineage: Eukaryota; Metazoa; Chordata; Actinopteri; Siluriformes; Bagridae
Exons: 2
Source: RefSeq, a predicted model, not a curated record
AGUGCUCUCUCAAUGAGGAGUCUCAUCAGCCUUUUAGAGUAGAAGAUGAAUUCGUCUCUGCUUGUCUCUUUAUUCCUAUAACACAUUAAUUAUAAUCACAGUACAUUUGCUGAAACCCAAGCCUGUGAGGAUAUUCUAGUCUAAUGAUGGCAUACUUGCACUUCUGAAAUAACACACAUUGUGACCAUGGAACAGCUGAGCAGCCAACUGUCCAAUUACAUCUGGUCCCUGCUGUGAUUCCUGCACUGUUCAUUGGAUUUUUAUGUAAAUAUACACUAAUUAAAACAAGGCCUGCACUUCUUAUUCAUAUUUUCAUAUUCAUAAUUUAAUUUCAACUCCAAUAUAUUUUUGUACACAAAUAAAAUAACAAUAACUUUGACCGUCCAAAUAUUUCUGGACCUGCAUAUAUAUAAUUGAUGUAUUUUAUUAAACUGUUAUCAUAUUCAUUUAUUCUGUUGCUUUAUAUAUGCUAAGUAAACAGUAACCAUCUUAAUAGUGGCAAUGGAUAACUCUAAUCCCACUGUGGCAUAUCAAAUUAAAAUGUGGGUCACAAAUGCCAUUAACAGGGCUGAAGGUUUGUAGGUAUGUUUAGCUGUGUCUGACCUGAUAAUGGUGUGCAUACCGCGGACCUGCGGUGUGCUCUCCAAAACACAGAGAGUUUGGGGUAGGGGCUGAGCUUGAUGGGCAGAAGCCAGUGCCGCCCUGUUACCAUGGCCACCAAGAGAAACAGGAAGUGGUCAGUGGAACGUCACACUCAAACUGGGCCACCAAGAAAUGCAAAUACACAUGGGCAUUUCUACACACACAUCUCUCUCCCUCUCAAAAAAAACACACACAAACACAAGUCAUGUUAACAAAAAUAAUUUAGAGCAUUACUGGGCAGUUAGUUGCUUGUAGGGCAAAAGUACAAAUGAAGCAGCAAAUACAGUCAGUUAAGAACAGUCACUAACAUUGGCACAUUGGCAGAACAGGGGCUCUUACCACAAACUACCUGACAAAUGUUCCUGAGCAUCAAUAGUUAUUGAAAUGCCCUGCCAUCAGUUAAGUAUUAUCAGCUGUAUAUAUGAUCAGGCAUAACAUUAUGACCACUGAGAGGUGCCGUGAAUAACACUCAUCAUCUCCUCAUCAUGGCACCAGUUUGCAAGUGAAUGUUUUGUCCUCAACAAGGGCCAAAUUAUGAUGGCUAGACGACUGGAUCAGAGGAUCUCCAAAACUGCAGUUCUUGUGGGGUGUUCCCGGUUUGCAGUGGUCAGUAUCUAUCAAAAGUGGUCCAAGGAAGGAACAGUGGUGAACCAGCGACAGGGUCAUGGGCGGCCAAGGCAUAUUGAUACAUGUGGGGUGCGAAGCCUGGCCCAUGUGGUCCAAUCCAACAGGCUAAUGCGUCGUGCCACAUAGCAAAAAUGGUUCAGGAAUGGUUUGAUGAGCACAACAACGAGUUUGAGUUGUUGACUUGGCCUCCAAAUUCCCCAGAUCUCAAUCCAAUCGAGCAUCUGUGGGAUGUGCUGGACAAACAAGUUCAAUCAAUGGAGGCCCAAACUCGCAACUUACAGGACUUAAAGGACCUGCUGCUAACAUCUUAGUGCCAGAUAACACAGCACACCUUCAGAGACCUAGUGGAGUCCAAGCUUCAAUGGGUCAGGGCUGUUUUGGCAGCAAAAGGGGGACCACCACAAUAUUAGACAGGUGGUCAUAAUGUUAUGUCUGAUCGGUAUGUAUCUCACCACUGAUUAAUUAUAUGUUCCAAGUUAGUCAGUCAAACAGUGCAUAUUGCAUUUUGUCAGAGCAAAAUGAUAAGUCAUAAAAAGCUUAUAUAAAUCACACACUUAAAUAAAAUGUUAGAUGAAUUCAGGUAUAUUGGGACAGAAAGUCUCAUCAGGGACUUGUUUAUUUUCUAAACUUUUUUUGUUUAAACAAAUGUGAACAUCUUACCAUCACACCCACAUCAUCACAAUGUGCUUCUUGAAUAUUCCAUGCCAAAAGCAAGGAAAGUCAUAUAGAGGUAGCCCCCUCUUUGUUGCUAUAGCAGCCUCCACUUUUCAGGGAAGGUUUUCCACUAGAUUCUCGUAUGUCGGAAUAUACACUGGACCACAAUUCAGCUCAAUAUGACUUAUGGAUCCUGAAUUUGGUAUGCAAAUACCUGCAACCAAUCAUGAGUUUGAAGCUUGAAUAAAUUAGGCCCCACCUUAGAUGAAUUGACUGGCAUAUGAUGGCUAUAUUGUUUACAAAUGUCAACUUCUUUUUGAUAAUUAUUGAGUGUAAUACAUGCUAAGUAGUUAACACCAUACUUGUGAAGACAGGCCAGGACAGGGUUGGCAAAGUAAGUUUUACAUAUUAUCAUAAAUUGCGUGGACAAAGUUAAAUGGUCCAAAAUGACCCCAGUGGUCAAUUUUUGCAAGAAUGUAUCGGUCAUAACCUAAAACUACCAUUCAGGAUUUGUGACAUAAGCUCAAUGUUAAAACAGCAAAAUGGCUGCUGGCUUAAAUAUGAUUGGCUAAGUAAAAUUAAUCAGGUCAUCAUCAAUAAUUCACUUUUGAAAAUCCAGUUUCACAUUCUUCCAAAAAAACUGACAUCACUUUUAGCAGAUUGGGCUACAAGCCUAGAACAAGUACACAACUUUUUAUAUGCUAUGUAAAUUCUUUCUUUCAAAUCUUAAAUUGAAGCGAAAACUACAAACUACAACAUCCAAAAGGCAAAGUUCUUGAUUCUGUGUUUUCAGCCACAGAAUCAGCAUAAUGAAGAAGAGUUAUGGUACACCUUAUUUUACAAGAUAUAAUUCUGUAAAUGUGCAAACACAUGUAGAGCCCCCUUGUGGCCAAUAUGCUUUUAAAUUUAAAAGUUGGUCAUAAAAGAAACCUACCUUUCAAGCCUUGUUGAUCUUUCAAGCUCACAGUUAAGCCUUUUCCAAAGCUGACCGGUCAAUGGCCACCAUGCUUUUUGAAUAACUGGGCCAUCAUCAUAUCUCUUAUGGAUUAAUGCAUAGAUGAAGUAUAUCAAAAUUCAUACUCACUCGCACUUUUGGUUCUGGAGAAACAGUUAUCUGACCUUAGCUACACCCCCUAUGUAUGACCACACCCCAGAAUUUGCUCCUAACCUCAGUGCUCUCUGUAGACCAACUGAGUUCUUCUGCACCAAUCUUAAGCACACAAUUUCUUUAUUGACCUUCAAUUGUGCAAAGGGUGAUGCUGAAACAGAUUUGGGCUAGGCCUCUUUAAUUCUAGGGAAAUCCUAACUGCAAAAUGCAAGUCAUUUCAGACAACCGUGUGCUUCCAACAUUGCGACAACUAUUUGGGGAAGACCCACAAAUCGAAGUGAUGCUCAGAUGUCCACAUACAUCAUGUAGUGUAUGUUACUUAGCCCUUUCAGUGGAAGAACCUAAUAGAAAUAAUAUUAAUUAAUUUGUGCGAUAUCAAAUAAGAAGGUAUUUGUAAGCAUUAAAGAGGAAGGUGAUCCCUAAAAUCAUGGAGUAGGAAAAAUACCAUACCCUUAGCUUUUUUUUCCAUAAGGUUAUGCUAUUGUCAUGAAUAAUUUAUUCACAUAUUCAUGACUCAUAUGUACUACUGUAACAACAUUUUACAUUUACAGUAUUUGCCAGAUGCCCUUAUCCAGUGACUUACAUUUAUCUAAUUUUUAUACAAUGGAGGCCCAGAGGCAGUAGCUUGCUCGACCUAGGAUUCAAAUUCACAACUUUCCAAAAAGUAGUCCAAUAUAAUUAGAUUAUUACUGAAAGUGACUCAAUUCAUAACGCUAUAGCAAGUCACCAAAAUAUUACUUUGACAAAAGUAUAAGCCAUGCAUCAUCAGAUCAUGAAAAACUAUAUAUCUUUAUAUGUAUGUAGUCAUUACAUUGUAGAUUUUUUAUAGCAAUAAUAUAGAAACUCAAUGUGUCCCAGAAUAUCUGAAUUCAUCCUGCUGUAUGCCAUAUGCAACUAUUUAAGAUAUCACGCAUCCAGUUAUAUACAACUUGCAACAUUUGACUUGACCAUAUCAAAAUCACACUUCUGGCUGCAGAUAUGCUCUCACUAUAAUAAUUUAAAGCAAGUGAUGAUAAAUAAAAAUGACAUGCAAAUCUCACAUAUCCCAGCGGAGUUUCCUCUAUUGAUGGAGAACAAACAAACAAAACAAAAACAGAAAUGACAACAAGUAGAGAGGGAAAAGAUAGACAUCACAUUAUUCAAAAGGUGAUAAAGUGA